RNAcentral lists this ribosomal RNA (253 nucleotides) under uncultured bacterium. Its description in RNAcentral is "partial 16S ribosomal RNA". It matches the Rfam family "Bacterial small subunit ribosomal RNA", at positions 524 to 776 of the family's 1533-position model. The record is from RNAcentral.
UACGGAGGGAGCUAGCGUUGUUCGGAAUUACUGGGCGUAAAGCGCGCGUAGGCGGCUUUGUAAGUUAGAGGUGAAAGCCCGGGGCUCAACCCCGGAACUGCCUUUAAGACUGCAUCGCUUGAAUCCGGGAGAGGUGAGUGGAAUUCCGAGUGUAGAGGUGAAAUGCGCAGAUAUCAGGAGGAACACCCGUGGCGAAAGCGGCUCUCUGGGACGGUACUGACGCUGAGACGCGAAAGCGUGGGGAGCAAACAGG